GAUUAUUGGGCGUAAGGGCUCGCAGGCGGUUUCUUAAGUCUGAUGUGAAAGCCCCCGGCUCAACCGGGGAGGGUCAUUGGAAACUGGGAAACUUGAGUGCAGAAGAGGAGAGUGGAAUUCCACGUGUAGCGGUGAAAUGCGUAGAGAUGUGGAGGAACACCAGUGGCGAAGGCGACUCUCUGGUCUGUAACUGACGCUGAGGAGCGAAAGCGUGGGGAGCGAACAGGAUUAGAUACCCUGGUAGUCCACGCCGUAAACGAUGAGUGCUAAGUGUUAGGGGGUUUCCGCCCCUUAGUGCUGCAGCUAACGCAUUAAGCACUCCGCCUGGGGAGUACGGUCGCAAGACUGAAACUCAAAGGAAUUGACGGGGGCCCGCACAAGCGGUGGAGCAUGUGGUUUAAUUCGAAGCAACGCGAAGAACCUUACCAGGUCUUGACAUCCUCUGACAACCCU
This 453-nucleotide ribosomal RNA is filed under the name Bacillus pumilus. RNAcentral's name for it is "bacterial SSU rRNA". It matches the Rfam family "Bacterial small subunit ribosomal RNA", at positions 547 to 1001 of the family's 1533-position model. The record is from RNAcentral. Lineage: Bacteria; Bacillati; Bacillota; Bacilli; Caryophanales; Bacillaceae.